RNAcentral lists this ribosomal RNA (327 nucleotides) under uncultured Chloroflexota bacterium. Its description in RNAcentral is "bacterial SSU rRNA". It matches the Rfam family "Bacterial small subunit ribosomal RNA", at positions 28 to 351 of the family's 1533-position model. The record is from RNAcentral. Lineage: Bacteria; Bacillati; Chloroflexota.
GAUGAACGCUGGCGGCGUGCUUAAUACAUGCAAGUCGAACGGGGAUUUUGUAUUCGUACGAAAUCUUAGUGGCGAACGGGUGAGUAACGCGUUGGUGACCUGCCCCGAAGAGAGGGACAACAGUUCGAAAGGACUGCUAAUACCUCAUGUGGUCGUAAGGGUUAGAUAUCUUACGUCUAAACGGAGUAAUCCGCUUCGGGAGGGGCCUGCGUCCCAUCAGCUAGUUGGUAGGGUAAUGGCCUACCAAGGCGACGACGGGUAGGGGACCUGAGAGGGUGACCCCCCACACUGGCACUGAAACACGGGCCAGACACCUACGGGUGGCAG